RNAcentral lists this transfer RNA (76 nucleotides) under candidate division WWE3 bacterium RIFOXYC1_FULL_39_7. RNAcentral's name for it is "tRNA-Gly". It matches the Rfam family "tRNA". Rfam says of the family: Transfer RNA (tRNA) molecules are approximately 80 nucleotides in length. Their secondary structure includes four short double-helical elements and three loops (D, anti-codon, and T loops). The record is from RNAcentral. Lineage: Bacteria; candidate division WWE3.
GCGGUGGUAGUUCAGUUGGUAGAACGUCUCCCUUCCAAGGAGAAGGUCGCCGGUUCGAGCCCGGUCCGCCGCUCCA